AGUGAACGCUGGCGGUAGGCCUAACACAUGCAAGUCGAACGGCAGCACAGUAAGAGCUUGCUCUUACGGGUGGCGAGUGGCGGACGGGUGAGGAAUACAUCGGAAUCUACUUUUUCGUGGGGGAUAACGUAGGGAAACUUACGCUAAUACCGCAUACGACCUACGGGUGAAAGCAGGGGAUCUUCGGACCUUGCGCGAUUGAAUGAGCCGAUGUCGGAUUAGCUAGUUGGCGGGGUAAAGGCCCACCAAGGCGACGAUCCGUAGCUGGUCUGAGAGGAUGAUCGCCCACACUGAACCUGGACACGGGCCAGACUCCUACGGGAGGCAGCAGUGGGGAAUAUUGGACAAUGGGCGCAAGCCUGAUCCAGCCAUACCGCGUGGGUGAAGAAGGCCUUCGGGUUGUAAAGCCCUUUUGUUGGGAAAGAAAAGCAGCAGGUUAAUACCCCGCUGUUCUGACGGUACCCAAAGAAUAAGCACCGGCUAACUUCGUG
RNAcentral lists this ribosomal RNA (491 nucleotides) under uncultured bacterium. Its description in RNAcentral is "partial 16S ribosomal RNA". It matches the Rfam family "Bacterial small subunit ribosomal RNA", at positions 29 to 507 of the family's 1533-position model. The record is from RNAcentral.